CAGAAAGUAGUUUAUUAAAAAUAUUAAUUUUGGAGAUUAAAGAAAAAACUAUAGUUUUUUUUCUGA
Molecule: transfer RNA, 66 nt
Filed under: Ptilodactyla sp. PTY01
Lineage: Eukaryota; Metazoa; Arthropoda; Insecta; Coleoptera; Ptilodactylidae
Description: tRNA-Pro
Source: RNAcentral